UAGUGAUCUCUUAAUGAAUGAACUGAAGAGAACAGAAAUUAAUGAUAUGAGUUGUUCACAAAAGGAAUUGGUUUUGGAAAUUAUCAAGUGUAACAGCAACUCUAUCAUCAGUUUGUCUUACAUUCUGACACAAUAGCACACAAAAUCUCAGAGAUAUGAAAUGAAUAACUGCAAUUUUCAAGAUAAAUGACGGACUGAUUUCAUAAGAUUCAAGAACGAUAAAGAACUUGAAAAAAAAAAAAA
This 243-nucleotide unclassified non-coding RNA is filed under the name Hevea brasiliensis (rubber tree). Lineage: Eukaryota; Viridiplantae; Streptophyta; Magnoliopsida; Malpighiales; Euphorbiaceae. The record is from RNAcentral.